GAUGAACGCUGGCGGCGUGCCUAAUACAUGCAAGUCGAGCGAACAGACGAGGAGCUUGCUCCUCUGACGUUAGCGGCGGACGGGUGAGUAACACGUGGAUAACCUACCUAUAAGACUGGGAUAACUUCGGGAAACCGGAGCUAAUACCGGAGAAUAUAUUGAACCGCAUGGUGCAUUAGUGAAAGACGGUUGUGCUGUCACUUAUAGAGGGAUACGCGCCGCAUUAGCUAGUUGGUAAGGUAACGGCUUACCAAGGCAACGAUGCGUAGCCGACGUGAGAGACGGAUCGGCGACACUGGAGCGUAGACGCCGACAAUACUCCUACGAGACGCCGCAGUAGGCAAUCUGCGGCAGUAGGCGGAAGCCUUACGCAGCGACGCCGAGCGAGUGAUGAAGGUCCUCGGUUCGUAAAACUGUGUUAUUAGGGAAGAACCACUGUGUAAGUAAAUAUGCACUUCUUGACGGUACCGGAUCAGAAAGCCACGGCUAACUACGUG
This 497-nucleotide ribosomal RNA is filed under the name uncultured bacterium. RNAcentral describes it as "partial 16S ribosomal RNA". It matches the Rfam family "Bacterial small subunit ribosomal RNA", at positions 28 to 507 of the family's 1533-position model. The record is from RNAcentral.